GGCAAAUAAAGUAGCUUGUAAAGGUUUUACUAUUAAGCGACAACCAGUUUGCAAUCAGCCACUGGAAACCCAGGGGGGAAAAAACUGGAGUAAUAACACGUGUUUCCUGCUUUACAGUGAUUACCAAGUAGUUUUUGCAACUGCUUCUUGUUCCACCAAAUAUGUCACGACAAAGAAAUGCAAUGUUAAAAUGAAUGCGGAAAAAGAAAGGAUGUAGUUGAAGAAACAAAAAGUGUGCAUCCGUCUCAAGAUAACGCUAACCUUGAGAGUCAUCUCCACUGGGCCGCCUAAAGUCCCCAGGGCGGAGGGCGCUAUAGAGGGCGCCUCUCGGAAGCCACAGGUUGAACGACAAAGAGCCCCCGCCAGCAGCAGUCCCGAAGGUGGCGGGCUGGCCAGCCCUGUGCGCUCCAUUCGAACCCUGCAGUCCAGCCUUGGCUGUGGGCAAUGCAGCUCCUCACACCAGUCUCAAGUCACCAGGUGGGACAAGGGCUGGCAGGCUGAGAAGGUUGGGGCGGGCAUGCCACGAGUCCAAAAUAACUCCCGCCCCGAGUCCCUUCCCUGGGACCAGAAGGCGGCGGGAGAGUCCGGAGGGACCACGUGAAUCGGCCCCAGGUCGCCCCUUUUCUAAAUCAAAGCAUCUCUCCGGGAGCCUACAGAGGGCCAGAGGGGAAGCGACUCCCCAAGGUCACCGGGCACCAUGACUCGACUCUUCGGUCAGGUCAGUGGCCGACACCUGACCACGGGGCCCGUGGAUCGGCUGGAAGACGCAGUCCCCAGCACCUCCAGGUCCCCUUCAGCAAGACCACGCAGCAUCAUCAAGAGAUCUCUCCAGAGGGAGGCUGCAGCUGAUCAGAUGUAUCCAGUGUUCUCUGUCUGCACACCAGGAGCUUUGAGUCCACUUGUGAUUCUCUCCAUCCUGCAAAAAGGAGCUGAAAAGUGGGCCUUGAGAGGCAGGGGCUUCCAUUCUCAUUGUGCUGUCCCAGUGUGGUGGCCCAAUAGUGCUGGAAAAAUUCUGCACCCCCAGCAUUUGCCUGUACCCUGGAAGUACUGAGAAGAGAAGGGGAGAGGAGUUAUUCUGUGCCAUUCUCCCCUGUGAUCUGCUGUGAAAGGUGUUGUGUGGCAUAUGCAGGCAGUGGAGCAGCCUUACUUUGACUUUAAGCUCUGUAGUGACCCUGGGUCCAYGGGUUCUAGGAGCAACUGUCCUCCUCUAAG
This 1212-nucleotide long non-coding RNA is filed under the name Urocitellus parryii (Arctic ground squirrel). RNAcentral describes it as "lncRNA (ENSUPAG00010022232.1)". Lineage: Eukaryota; Metazoa; Chordata; Mammalia; Rodentia; Sciuridae. The record is from RNAcentral.